AUACGGAGGGUGCAAGCGUUACUCGGAAUCACUGGGCGUAAAGCGCGCGCAGGCGGCUAUUUAAGUUGGAUGUGAAAGCCUACGGCUCAACCGUAGAACUGCAUCCAAAACUAUUUAGCUAGAGUGUGGGAGAGGAAGAUGGAAUUAGUUGUGUAGGGGUAAAAUCCGUAGAGAUAACUAGGAAUACCAAAAGCGAAGGCAAUCUUCUGGAACACUACUGACGCUAAGGCGUGAAAGCGUGGGGAGCAAACAGGAUUAGAAACCCUAGUAGUCC
This 274-nucleotide ribosomal RNA is filed under the name uncultured bacterium. RNAcentral's name for it is "partial 16S ribosomal RNA". It matches the Rfam family "Bacterial small subunit ribosomal RNA", at positions 523 to 796 of the family's 1533-position model. The record is from RNAcentral.